Sphaeramia orbicularis (orbiculate cardinalfish) is the source of this 352-nucleotide long non-coding RNA. RefSeq lists it as uncharacterized. The transcript has 3 exons. Lineage: Eukaryota; Metazoa; Chordata; Actinopteri; Kurtiformes; Apogonidae. The record is from RefSeq and is a predicted model, not a curated record.
UUUUGUUGUCUCAUAGAAGUAAAGAACUGUUCAGAUGUUUGAGAUGUCACUAAAGCUAAAAAUAUUGGCAUCAAAGUCACUGUUCUGCUUGACAUGCCUCUUUGCACAAAAGCUCAUUUUCUACGUUUUUUGGUCAAAAACAGGUGUUUAUGCUGAAACCACCCUAAGUUCUACUGCCGAUUACUAAAGAAAAAAAAGGCUUGAAACAAACUUUGUUUUCCUGAUAAAAGAAGAGAAACUACACUUUCUUUUGAUAGUUUCAAUGUUUAUGCAGUCCCAAAACUCAAUUUUCUGUGGGUCUUGAAAGAUCAGUCAAAAUGCUCCAAAACUCAGGCAGUCAAUGAGUUGAAAG